This 208-nucleotide long non-coding RNA is filed under the name Mytilus galloprovincialis (Mediterranean mussel). The record is from RNAcentral. Lineage: Eukaryota; Metazoa; Mollusca; Bivalvia; Mytilida; Mytilidae.
GGGGCAAUUUACACUUCUGGUUUAUUGUCCCUUUAACCAGCCAGUGUAUCUGUGUAUGAUGUAUUUAUCUACUGUGCAAGGGUUGUGUAGCCAGUCAAGGUCGUUAAAUGUAUCUCUAGCUCCAUUGACAGACUCCCAUAAUAUAUUCGAAAGCGGAUCCCGGAUUUUGAAAAAAAAAAAAGAAUGUGGAAGGACGUAAAGACAACAU